Molecule: ribosomal RNA, 497 nt
Filed under: uncultured bacterium
Lineage: Bacteria
Description: partial 16S ribosomal RNA
Rfam family: Bacterial small subunit ribosomal RNA
Source: RNAcentral
GAUGAACGCUGGCGGCGUGCCUAAUACAUGCAAGUCGAGCGAACAGACGAGGAGCUUGCUCCUCUGACGUUAGCGGCGGACGGGUGAGUAACACGUGGAUAACCUACCUAUAAGACUGGGAUAACUUCGGGAAACCGGAGCUAAUACCGGAUAAUAUAUUGAACCGCAUGGUUCAAUAGUGAAAGACGGUUUUGCUGUCACUUAUAGAUGGAUCCGCGCCGCAUUAGCUAGUUGGUAAGGUAACGGCUUACCAAGGCGACGAUGCGUAGCCGACCUGAGAGGGUGAUCGGCCACACUGGAACUGAGACACGGUCCAGACUCCUACGGGAGGCAGCAGUAGGGAAUCUUCCGCAAUGGGCGAAAGCCUGACGGAGCAACGCCGCGUGAGUGAUGAAGGUCUUCGGAUCGUAAAACUCUGUUAUUAGGGAAGAACAAAUGUGUAAGUAACUAUGCACGUCUUGACGGUACCUAAUCAGAAAGACACGGCUAACUACGUG